UGCGAAGGUAGCAUAAUCAUUAGCCUUUUGAUUUGGGGCUGGAAUGAAUGGUUUGACGAGAGAUGGUCUGUCUCUUCGAUUAAAUUGAAGUUAAUCUUUAAGUGAAAAAGCUUAAAUGUACUUGGAGGGCGAUAAGACCCUAUAGAUCUUUACAUUUAAUUCUUUUGUCUUGCGGUAGGUAAUUAGACAGAGUAAAACAAUGUUCGGUUGGGGCGACGGUUAGAACAGAAUAAACACUUACAACAUAAAUACAUCAAUAAAUGACCAUUGAUCCUUAGAUGAAUAAAGACCAAGUUACCUUAGGGAUAACAGCGUAAUUCUUUUUGAGAGUUCAAAUCGACAAAAGAGUUUGCGACCUCGAUGUUGGUUCAGGGACCCUACUCGGUGCAGCAGCCUAGAGAGGCAGUCUGUUCGACUGUUAAACCCC
This 427-nucleotide ribosomal RNA is filed under the name Artemia franciscana. RNAcentral's name for it is "partial 16S ribosomal RNA". It matches the Rfam family "Bacterial large subunit ribosomal RNA", at positions 1949 to 2596 of the family's 2925-position model. The record is from RNAcentral. Lineage: Eukaryota; Metazoa; Arthropoda; Branchiopoda; Anostraca; Artemiidae.